Molecule: long non-coding RNA, 552 nt
Organism: Drosophila biarmipes
Lineage: Eukaryota; Metazoa; Arthropoda; Insecta; Diptera; Drosophilidae
Exons: 2
Source: RefSeq, a predicted model, not a curated record
AUUAUGACUUAAAUCAGCUUUUGUCACAUUUUCAACUCAUCGUGAAGUCGAAGUGAGCGGAGGGAAAUUUGUCACAGGUUAAAUAGUUAGAGGUGUUGGAAAUUAUCCGCUCCACAGAAAAGGUGUGAGCCCCAAACUAAUGAUUUGGUAUGAAAAUAAAACAGCUGCGUUUCGGAGAAUACAAACAAUGGAUUGGUUAACUUGAGUCUAGGAUGGCACAAUCCCUCCAGCCCUCGCCCAUUUUGUCCCGGGUAAAAGCCAGAGGAAAAUGCUUUCCUCCGCCACUCCCGAGUCCCAUUGUCUGGUGAAUUAAGUGCAAACAUUAGCAGCAAACAAAGCCCGGUCGAGAUGAUGACGCUGGCGAAGGCGAUGAUGAGGCUGAUGAAGAUGAUGACGGCGAUGAAGACGAUGUUGGGCGGUGCUGAUAAUACCCCAUGGACUUUACACCUAGGCAAAUGGAACGUGAUAGAGCUUUUUCUCUUUCAACUGCGCUCGUGCAAAUGAUUAUCAAUCAUUUUGGGAUUAAAAUUCCUUGUGGUGUUUUGUCACACA